This 428-nucleotide ribosomal RNA is filed under the name uncultured Desulfovibrio sp. RNAcentral's name for it is "bacterial SSU rRNA". It matches the Rfam family "Bacterial small subunit ribosomal RNA", at positions 353 to 772 of the family's 1533-position model. The record is from RNAcentral. Lineage: Bacteria; Pseudomonadati; Thermodesulfobacteriota; Desulfovibrionia; Desulfovibrionales; Desulfovibrionaceae.
AGUGGGGAAUAUUGCGCAAUGGGGGAAACCCUGACGCAGCGACGCCAUGUGAGGGAUGAAGGCUUUCGGGUCGUAAACCUCUGUCAGGAGGGAAGAAACUGUUUGUGGUUAAUACCCACUUUCACUGACGGUACCUCCAGAGGAAGCACCGGCUAACUCCGUGCCAGCAGCCGCGGUAAUACGGAGGGUGCGAGCGUUAAUCGGAAUCACUGGGCGUAAAGCGCGCGUAGGCGGCCUGAUAAGUCAGGUGUGAAAGCCCUCGGCUCAACCGGGGAAUUGCACUUGAUACUGUCAAGCUUGAGUAUCGGAGAGGAUGGCGGAAUUCCAGGUGUAGGAGUGAAAUCCGUAGAUAUCUGGAGGAACACCAGUGGCGAAGGCGGCCAUCUGGACGAUAACUGACGCUGAGGUGCGAAAGCGUGGGGAGCAAA